This 367-nucleotide ribosomal RNA is filed under the name uncultured bacterium. RNAcentral's name for it is "bacterial SSU rRNA". It matches the Rfam family "Bacterial small subunit ribosomal RNA", at positions 917 to 1289 of the family's 1533-position model. The record is from RNAcentral.
GGGCCCGCACAAGCGGUGGAGUAUGUGGUUUAAUUCGAUGCAACGCGAAGAACCUUACCAGGGUUUGACAUCCUGCGAAUCUCUUGGAAACGAGAGAGUGCCUUCGGGAACGCAGUGACAGGUGGUGCAUGGCUGUCGUCAGCUCGUGUCGUGAGAUGUUGGGUUAAGUCCCGCAACGAGCCAACCCACGUCUUUAGUUGCCAGCAUUUAGUUGGGCACUCUAGAGAGACUGCCGGUGAUAAACCGGAGAAGGUGUGGAUGACGUCAAGUCAUCAUGCCCCUUACACCUGGGCUACACACGUACUACAAUGGACAAGACAAUGAGUCGCAAACCCCGUGAGGGCUAGCAAUCUAUAAACUUGUUCUA